UGACUCACGGUCGAUGGCGGCUUUACCGGAAGCAUCGUGAAGCGCCGCUCGAAAACUUCCCCCUCAAUUUGUAUAGUCACCCUAGCCUAGUCCUUUCUCACUUCCUUUCGAUAGCUGCGUUGGUUCAGGACCGGGCGGAAGUGAUUAUCUGCAAUAUCUUGUGGGUUGUCUGAGGCGCUACUCCUACUUUCCUUUCUUCUCUGGCUUCAGGGCCUUGCAAGUGAGCAAGCUGUAGCAUCAUGUCGAGCCGAGAUGGUGGUAAGAAGAAACCCUUGAAGCAGCCCAAGAAGCAAUCAAAGGAAAUGGAUGAGGAAGAUGUAGCUUUUAAGCAAAAACAAAAGGAGGAGCAGAAGAAACUGGACGAGAUGAAAGCAAAAGCUGCUGGCAAAGGCCCACUAACUGGAGGUGGAAUUAAGAAAUCUGGUAAGAAGUAGCAGAUUUGAUUAGCAUCCGUGACAAGAGAAGUAUUUUACUCCCAUUGGAUGUUUGGCAGUAGGAUGGAUUUCCAGGCUGAUGUUGUGGGAAACAUUAACAUGAGCACCUUUGUACAUUUUGUUCAGACAAAAUAAAUUGCUUUUUUUUUUAAUGUU
This is a long non-coding RNA of Rhineura floridana, 590 nucleotides long. RefSeq lists it as uncharacterized. NCBI's taxonomy places the organism in Eukaryota, Metazoa, Chordata, Lepidosauria, Squamata, Rhineuridae. The transcript has 4 exons. The record is from RefSeq and is a predicted model, not a curated record.